AAAUGAAAGCGGUAAAUUUAUUACACAUUUUUGGGAAUGUGGGUACAAUUUAUCAAAUGGGGAUACAAUAUAUGAAUUAUUUAACCGUCCGACAUCAUACAUUGAGAUCAAGUAAAAUAAUCGAUCAAGUAAAAUCCACUUAACUACAACAUCAAUUAAUUAAAUGACAAUCAAUUAAUCAAUUAAAUAAUUAUUACUCUAAAUAAUUUAAUCAAAAAAUAUAAUAGAAUAAAUAAUAAGAUUAAAAGAUAAAAAUUAAUAAAAUAGCUAGAUGAAUAAAAUACUACAGAGGUAUGAAUAUGAACAUGUGGGUGUAAUUAAAAAAAUCUAAGGCUGAAUGUCCUAAUAAACUAACCUAACUUAGUGAUAAUAAUAAUAAUAAUAAUAAUAAUAAUAAUAAUAAUAAUAAUAAUAAAAAUAAUAACAAUAAUAAUAAUAAUAAUAAUAAUAAUAAUAAUAAUAAUAAUAAUAAUUAAAAAAGAAAAGAAAAGUAAAUAGAAAGAACAAGCACAUGGGGCAGUAGACACUUGCAGAAGAUGGAGUUUUUUUUCUUCAAAAUUUGAACCAUAUCCAAUAAUUCCAAGACACAUGGCAAGCGAAUAUAAAAAUUAAAUAAAACCAAGUGUUUGUUUCUACUAUAUUCUCAUUGCAUGGAACGUUAAAAUGAGGAUAAUAGAAAAUGUUUGCUGACUUUUCCACCAUACAAAUCUACCAAUAGCAUCAUGACAUAUUGUAUUUCUUUUAACAUAAAAAAGAAUUAAUAAUAUACAAUAACUAUUACCUUCCUCUCUCACAUUAAUUAUGCAGUAAACAUAAACAAGAAAAGAAGAAAAGCAACACAUUCUCUCUAGUCAUGUUCAGUAUCCAAAUCCCAUGUUUAUAAACACAAGGAAAAUUCAAUAUAACACAAUCAUAAAUACCAAACACAUUCAAAACAAACAAUCCGAGCAAAAUAAAUGGUAAUAAGAAAAGAAAAAAAGAAAAGCUACCGGACAUCGUGGCGGCUACGGGAUGAAAUGCGGAAGUUCAUGGUGGUGAGGGAUGUGUCAUUUGGUGGCAUUGGUGCGGAAUAGCUCAUGUGCAUGAGGUAUUGAUUUGUUUUAUGGAAAUACAAUGAGGAGAAGAUGCAAUAAGCAGGGGUUGUAAAGUUGAGUUGGUGAGAAAUAUAUGGUUACCGGUAGUACUAUUGCGUUUGGAUCUGGCGAAAAAUGAUUUUGGCUAUUACUUAGAUGGUUGUUUGUUGGUGAAUGAUGGUUAUGUGAGUUUGGAAAU
This 1272-nucleotide long non-coding RNA is filed under the name Lathyrus oleraceus (garden pea). RNAcentral describes it as "Pisum sativum (pea) long non-coding RNA (PSAT_LNC033567)". Lineage: Eukaryota; Viridiplantae; Streptophyta; Magnoliopsida; Fabales; Fabaceae. The record is from RNAcentral.